GAUAGCCCAGUUGGUAAAGCAUGAGACUGUUCAUAUCAAGGUCAUGGGUUUGAGCCCCAUGUUGCA
This is a non-coding RNA of Podarcis lilfordi (Lilford's wall lizard), 66 nucleotides long. The record is from the annotation of a GenBank genome assembly. Lineage: Eukaryota; Metazoa; Chordata; Lepidosauria; Squamata; Lacertidae.